RNA transcript from Malania oleifera, 2420 nucleotides. It is a transcript of the gene named pentatricopeptide repeat-containing protein At3g02490, mitochondrial, with no coding region annotated. The transcript has 3 exons. NCBI's taxonomy places the organism in Eukaryota, Viridiplantae, Streptophyta, Magnoliopsida, Santalales, Ximeniaceae. The record is from RefSeq and is a predicted model, not a curated record.
GAAUUUAAUUUUUUGAGGGGCUAUGAAUCUUCCAACCGAGAGGUAAAACCCAAAACCUGGGCGCUUCCUUUCUAUCUUCCUUCCUCAAUCUUCAAUAAACACCGAAACCCUAGACCUUGUUGAACAUGAGACACCCAUGGCGCCUGCUUCUUCUCCGCAGCGGCUACGCUCGAUCUUCAAUUCACAUUUCCACUCACUUCUCGCAUUUUCAGGUAAAAUCCCACCCCAAUCUUCAGAUACUUCGUUCCUUCACUUCAUCCUUUCUCACACAUGCGCCUCACGUGCUUUCGCAUCCCUUUGAACUCUUUACGAACUCUUCGAGAAUUGGCACUUGCAGUUUUUCUUCUGAAGUCUCCCUCGAACCAAAGGACAUAGAUCAUGUUGCUGUCACUGAUCUUUUUACUAAACCAAACUCCGACGAAGAGAUUAGGACCCAUUUGGAGUCUAAUAAUGUUGUGAUUAGCCACGAUUGGGUGUUAAAGAUAUUGAGAAAUCUCGAUCAUAGCCCUGAUGUGGCUUCCAGGGUUUUUGAUUGGGUGUUGAAGAACGAGGGUGAGAGAUUGAGCUCGAAAUCAUAUAAUUUGAUGUUGGGUAUUUUGGGUAUUAAUGGGUUUAUGAAGGAGUUUUGGGAUUUGGUUAAGACAAUGAAGACCAAAGGUUAUGGGGUAUCUAAGGAUGUGUAUGUUAGGGUUUUGGAAAAAUUUGAGAAGGAUGGAUUGGUGAGUGAUGUUGAGAACUUGAGAGGGCUGUAUGCAUCGAAGACCACGGUUGAGAAUAUCUGUUCUCGGAUAUGUAAAAUAAUUAGACUGGAAGUGUGGAGUGAUGAUGUAGAGUGUAGAUUAAGGUCUAUGGAAAAUGUUACUUUUUCAAGCGAUUUGGUUAAAAUGGUAUUGGAGCAUCUUGCCACGGAGCCUUCAAAAGCUUUGAUAUUUUUUCGAUGGAUUGAGGAGAGUAGUUUGUUCAAACAUGAUGAACAGACAUAUAAUGCUCUGGCAAGGGUUUUGGGGAGAGAGGAUUGUAUUGAUCGGUUUUGGAAGCUUGUUGAUGAAAUGAGGAGCUUAGGGUAUGAGAUGGAGGCAGUUACUUAUGUUAAGAUUUUGGAGCGAUUUAUUAAGCGAAAAAUGAUCAAGGAAGCUGUGGAUUUGUAUGAGUUUGUUAUGGGUGGUGCCCAUAAUCCUUCUGUUCAGGAUUGUACUUUUCUUCUGAGGAAAAUAGUGGUUGGUAAGGACCUGGAUAUGGAUUUGUUUUUGAGAGUUGUGAAGGUUUUUGUGGAGGCUGGGAAUGUGUUAACAAACUCUACCUUUGAUGCAGUCCUCAAAUCUUUAUUGAGUGUUGGUAGGCUUGGGGAUUGUAAUAAGAUCUUGAAGGCAAUGGAAGAAGGUGGGCUUGUAGCAGGUAGCGCCAUGCAGAGUAAGAUUGCCUUUGGGCUUAGUAGUACAGGAAGGAAGGAUGAAGCUACUGACUUUGUGGAUACUGUAGAAGCAUCUGGAUGUAAUUUAGAUGACAAAACAUGGGUGUCUUUGAUAGAAGGCCAUUGUGUUGCUGGGGAUAUUGAAAGAGCAUUUCAUUGUUUCCAAAAGAUGCUUGAAAGAGGGAAGACUUUGCGUGCUGCUUGUGCUUUUGAGUUGUUGGUAAAUGCAUAUUGCCAUAAGAAGAGAGCUUUAGAUGCUUGUAAGCUACUUUGUGAGCAGGUCAGUGAAAAACAAUUAAAACCUUGGCAUACGACGUACAAAGUAUUGAUAAAUAAUUUGUUGGUACAAGGGUGCUUUAAGGAUGCUUUGAGCCUUCUUGGUUUGAUGAAAAGUCAUGGGUUUCCACCUUAUGUGGAUCCAUUCAUCGAGUAUGUUUCAAAGUCUGGAACUGCUGAUGAUGCUAUUAUUUUUCUGAAAGCAAUGACUGUGCAGAGAUUUCCAUCCACAUCUGUGUUUCUUCGGGUCUUCGAAGCAUUUUUCAAGGCCAGAAGGCAUAAUGAAGCACAAGAUUUCCUUUCGAAGUGCCCUGGUUAUAUUCGUAACCAUGCUGAUGUUCUGAAUCUGUUUUGUUCCUCAAAGACUGGACAAGUUGCUCCUGCAACUAAUGCAGCUGCUUAAGCUGCUUUGCUGAUCCAUCCUUAAAGCUUUGUUCCAUAUCUACAAGGUCCUUGUUCACUUUGAUGAUUGAUUUCCAAGCUUAUGACCUCAUGUGUUCAUUGUGGUUGUCAACCAUGUGGCAUUCUUCUGUAUGAUGUUGCUCUGACUGACUGACAGUUGAACCCAGGGCUGUUGAAUCGAUGUCUGUCCUUGAUAAAACUACCAGCUUGGCUCUGAAAAACCCUAGAAACAAAUAUGUUGCGAUGCAUGUAUACUGCGCAAGACGAAAACCUGUACAGAAUGAUUUUGGUUGUGUUGGAAACAGAUCGCAGGAAUAAUGGUUUUGGGUUA